CCGAAAGGGUGACGAAGCGACGCGGCGUGGGUGAGGAAGGCCUUCGGGUUGUAAAGCCCUGUCAGGAGUUAAGAAAUGUAAGUGCGCUAAUAUCGCAUUUAUUUGACGAAGGCUCCAAAGGAAGUCACGGCUAACUCUGUGCCAGCAGCCGCGGUAAUACAGAGGUGGCAAGCGUUGUUCGGAAUUAUUGGGCGUAAAGAGCACGUAGGUGGGUUUGUAAGUCAGAUGUGAAAGCCUUCUGUUCAACGGAAGAAUUGCAUCUGAAACUGCGAGUCUUGAGUGUAGGAGGGGAGAAUGGAACUUCUGGUGGAGCGGUGAAAUGCGUAGAUAUCAGAAGGAACGCCGGCGGCGAAAGCGAUUCUCUGGCCUAUUACUGACACUCAGUGUGCGAA
RNAcentral lists this ribosomal RNA (392 nucleotides) under uncultured Planctomycetales bacterium. RNAcentral's name for it is "bacterial SSU rRNA". It matches the Rfam family "Bacterial small subunit ribosomal RNA", at positions 375 to 757 of the family's 1533-position model. The record is from RNAcentral. Lineage: Bacteria; Pseudomonadati; Planctomycetota; Planctomycetia; Planctomycetales.